AGCCCUUUCCCAGGCGGUAGCGGGGGCGCUGGUGCUGUUGCCCUUUUAAGCUGCGGCUUGACGGGAGCCGCGCCUCCUGUCGGUGGAGUCGGUUAUAAAGGGAGCAGCCCCCCAGGCCGCCACACAGCUCCCGCCAAGUCCUCGGUGUCCCUUGCCAUUUUCCAGCCGCGCUCCCACGAGGGUCACCGCGGCGGGGAGAGGUGGAGCCGCGAGAGCUCGGCCGGGGGCCCCGCCGGGUGGUCGCGGCCAUGACAGCGGCUCGGGACAGGUUCCUUUUCCGCGCCCCUCCCGCCUGAGAUGAGGGAAAGAUGUCCCUGUCAGCGUUCAAGGCCAAACUGAAGUUGCCGGCCUCUAUCUUCCACGAGAACCAGGAGCCACAGCCGCGGCUCACGCUCCACCGCAACAUCAAGAUUACAAGUGGACACCUGAGUCAGCAGGACCUGGAAUCCCAGAUGAGAGAGAGCUUAUCUACAUGGACUCAGAUCUUGUUGUCACCCCCAUUAAUGACAAUCCAAGGGUACAGAAAGCACUCUAACAAUUCCAAUUGCUAAUCCAGCAUUCGCAGAUAGCUCUAAACUGCGAUAU
This 585-nucleotide small RNA is filed under the name Pongo abelii (Sumatran orangutan). RNAcentral describes it as "processed transcript". Lineage: Eukaryota; Metazoa; Chordata; Mammalia; Primates; Hominidae. The record is from RNAcentral.